RNAcentral lists this ribosomal RNA (500 nucleotides) under uncultured bacterium. Its description in RNAcentral is "partial 16S ribosomal RNA". It matches the Rfam family "Bacterial small subunit ribosomal RNA", at positions 30 to 523 of the family's 1533-position model. The record is from RNAcentral.
AUUGAACGCUGGCGGAAUGCUUUACACAUGCAAGUCGAACGGCAGCACGGACUUCGGUCUGGUGGCGAGUGGCGAACGGGUGAGUAAUGUAUCGGAACGUGCCCAGUCGUGGGGGAUAACGUAGUGAAAAUUACGCUAAUACCGCAUACGAUCUAUGGAUGAACGCGGGGGAUCGCAAGACCUCGCGCGAUUUGAGCGGCCGAUAUCAGAUUAGGUAGUUGGUGGGGUAAAGGCCCACCAAGCCAACGAUCUGUAGCUGGUCUGAGAGGACGACCAGCCACACUGGAACUGAGACACGGUCCAGACUCCUACGGGAGGCAGCAGUGGGGAAUUUUGGACAAUGGGCGAAAGCCUGAUCCAGCCAUUCCGCGUGCAGGAUGAAGGCCCUCGGGUUGUAAACUGCUUUUGUACAGGACGAAAAGGUUUCUACUAAUACUAGGAGCUCAUGACGGUACUGUAAGAAUAAGCACCGGCUAACUACGUGCCAGCCGCCGCGGUAA